Unclassified non-coding RNA from Macaca fascicularis (crab-eating macaque), 117 nucleotides. It matches the Rfam family "Metazoan signal recognition particle RNA". From Rfam's summary of the family: The signal recognition particle (SRP) is a universally conserved ribonucleoprotein. NCBI's taxonomy places the organism in Eukaryota, Metazoa, Chordata, Mammalia, Primates, Cercopithecidae. The record is from Ensembl.
GCUGGGCACGGUGGCUCGUGCCUGUAAUCCCAGCACUUUGGGAGGCUGAGGCAGGUGGAUCACCUGAGGUCAGGAGUUCAAGACCAGCCUGACCAACAUGGAGAAACCCUAUCUCUA